GUUUUGUUCCUCCUGUUGGCUGCACAGAGGUUUACAAGAAGCAACCCUGGGCAAACAGCCCCCAGUGUGUGUCCCACACACAGCUGAAAGAAAUGCCUUCCUUUUGAUUCUCAUGCACAAUGAGGGAGUGUGGUCUCUUUCUCAGCCAAUACUGGUGCAAGAAAAUAUUUCAGUUCUCAACCUGGUAAUGUACUGCAGAGUCUGUUCCACCGGGAAGAAACGCGGAGAGGCACUGCUCUGCUGCCUCCGUCCAGAAUAAAGCGAUAGAGAUCUUUUUUAAAAAAGAGUAUAUUGGUGAUCACCGUUUCCCUUAAAAUAUACUUCAAGAAAUGCAGAGGAAACCAUAGAAUUUAAAAAUGAAAAUAAAAAGUGCUCUCAGGGGAUCUGAGAAAACAGCACCAAAUAUAUUAUUUAAAAAAUUAAAUAUUAUUUACAAAAGUAUAUUUCAUAAGCAACUGUUUCUUUUAUAUAUAUCUGCUUGCAAAUCUCUUUAUAAAGGGGACAGCUCUUUUUCACACACUGAUCCACCGCCAGUAAAGAUUUCCUCUAACCUAUCUCCAUGAUCGUACUGUCAUAGGAGUUGGGGCAGCACUCAGGCUCAGCUGACAUUCUCUGGGCAUCAGGUUUUGGCUGUAUGUGAUUCACGUCAAAUCAACCCAUCAGCAGCCUGAGACAAAUAUCCUGGGGGCUUGGGUGUAAUCCAGGGCCGCCAAGGCCAUAUGACCUAGGGUGGCACAGAGGAGAUGGAACUAGAGAGUCUGCCGGCUGGACUUCAGUUGAAAGUGAAGGCAGCUGCUGGCUGAGGUAUAGAACUUCAUGCCUUUCCCUUUCUCAUUUCCCCUUUUCCCCUUCCCUACUCCCUGCACCCCGCCUAAGCUUUAUCACCGAACUCAAAUUCCCUGGACCUACCAGGGGUGAAUGGAUGAGGUCUUUGGUUAUGCUCUGAGUCAAUAAUUUGGUGAGGAAAUUAAAGAACGAACUGACUGAGGCCAUGAGUUGAUGCGUCUCCAUUGCCCAGCUGCAUUCUCUCCAAUACUGCUAGACGUUAGAUAGAUAAGCCAUGAAUGGAGCUAGUUAUAAGAAGCACUUUUGGUUUCAUUGACACAAAGGGAAAGCCUAAUGGGUGGUUGCUUUUUUUCCCUGUAGUUAUGGGAAAACCAACAUUCUACUCAGAUCUCUUGCACAGGAAUGGUGCCAUGCACACAUUGGAUGCUCAAUGGAUAGUAACUGAAAAAAACCAGAACCAGGGUUGAAUUGGAGCCUGCUCUGAUCCAUGCAACAGUUAGAGGUCCCAUCUCCAAGGAAGAACAGUGGCACAUCGGUCUCCUGUGCCCCUUGAAAAUUCUAGGGUCCCCCAUGUCUGGUUUAUAUGUCACCACACUCAUUUUUAGUUUUAAAGACAAAACAGCUACCCAUGUUUAAGCCCCAUUUUCUUUUUAUAGAAAGGAGCAUCCAUAGCCAGGACAUUCCCUGAGCAAAGGGGCCAACCAAAAUCCACAAACGAAGGCCACUACCUUCAGGGGGCACAGAGAAGGGAAUCUAUGAUUUCUGUGCUGGCAAGCCAGCUUAGGAAUGUGAAAGUUGAAAAUGUUUUUAUGGAGAUCUUGGGCCUGGGAGCCGGAACUCUUUCCCUGGGAGCGGACAUGAAAUGCUUCUGAACCUCAGUCUGCUUUGCAGUAACGUGGGGAGAACAACUUACCCUCCCAGAGCUACUAAAGCACCGGGAUAUAGGGGCAAGAAGCCUUUGGGAACAAAAUUUGAUUUCUAAGAAUCCUUUUGUCUUACAGGCCGUCUACUGGUAAACCUGGAGAUACCCUGCUUCCUAUCGGUCCCGCUGUCCACCAGCGCCAGGGUGGGACCAUGCCUGUCUCCAGUCCCUCAUUCUGUAAUCAGCACACAGAGACACAAAAAGACAUUUCCACCAUGGACUUACUCCCUGUGGGAAUUUGGUUCAAUUCUGAAAACGUUCUAGGUUGGCUGCUUGAAUCUUGGUUAAUCGAUUUUAUGGAUUCUUGUCUCGAUGAACUCACUUUUUUGUGACUUUCAAGGUGAAAUUUUCCUAUAGGAUCAGUCUCCUUGGAAAAUGAGAUGCUGAGAAUUACCUAACAUAAACCUACACCUAUCUAAUAUUUUCAGUCUAAGCAAUGAAAUUAACUCAGUUAAGAGUUUCGGUCAUGCACCGUGUACUGGCUAAAUUGCUGAAGAACAGACUUCACAGUGUUGAUUAAAUGUAUCACACUCCUCUCUCUCUCCUAAGCCUUACAGGGAUUUGUUCUCCGCUCCCCUAAUAUGAUGAAGUUCAGAUGGGGGGGGAAUACUGGAAUUUGCAACGAUGUUUGACACCAAAUCUAAGCCCUCCCCACUGCUGGACCACACUGACAGAUUUCUCUCCACACAGAACACCCAAGUCCAAGGAGAACAGCUAGGGGCAUGAGGAAUCUACCAGCCAGGUUAUCACUAAGCUCAAAGCCUUGGGACUUUGUUUUCCAAAAUCUACCUUGAUAGAACUGGAGAAAAACACCCAAAACUCUAUGUACAAAGAAUUGCUGAUCUCACUGAAGCCGUUGCAUACCAAAGAGGAAAGAUGACCUAACCUGUAAUGGUUCAAAU
This 2610-nucleotide long non-coding RNA is filed under the name Equus caballus (horse). RNAcentral describes it as "lncRNA (ENSECAG00000053343.1)". The record is from RNAcentral. Lineage: Eukaryota; Metazoa; Chordata; Mammalia; Perissodactyla; Equidae.